ACGAACGCUGGCGGCGUGCCUAAUACAUGCAAGUCGAGCGGACGGAUGGGAGCUUGCUCCCAGACCGUCAGCGGCGGACGGGUGAGUAACACGUGGGCAACCUGCCUGUAAGACUGGGAUAACUCCGGGAAACCGGGGCUAAUACCGGAUAACUCUUUCCCUCACAUGAGGGAAAGCUGAAAGAUGGCAUCUCGCUAUCACUUACAGAUGGGCCCGCGGCGCAUUAGCUAGUUGGUGAGGUAACGGCUCACCAAGGCGACGAUGCGUAGCCGACCUGAGAGGGUGAUCGGCCACACUGGGACUGAGACACGGCCCAGACUCCUACGGGAGGCAGCAGUAGGGAAUCUUCCGCAAUGGACGAAAGUCUGACGGAGCAACGCCGCGUGAGUGAUGAAGGUUUUCGGAUCGUAAAACUCUGUUGUCAGGGAAGAACAAGUACCGGAGCAACUGCCGGUACCUUGACGGUACCUGACCAGAAAGCCACGGCUAACUACGUG
This 497-nucleotide ribosomal RNA is filed under the name uncultured bacterium. Its description in RNAcentral is "partial 16S ribosomal RNA". It matches the Rfam family "Bacterial small subunit ribosomal RNA", at positions 29 to 507 of the family's 1533-position model. The record is from RNAcentral.